Molecule: ribosomal RNA, 252 nt
Filed under: uncultured bacterium
Lineage: Bacteria
Description: partial 16S ribosomal RNA
Rfam family: Bacterial small subunit ribosomal RNA
Source: RNAcentral
UACGGAGGAUGUGAGCGUUAUCCGGAUUUAUUGGGUUUAAAGGGUGCGUAGGCGGGUUGUUAAGUCAGCGGUAAAAUUGCGGUGCUCAACGCCGUAGAGCCGUUGAAACUGGCGGCCUUGAGUGGGCGAGAAGUAUGCGGAAUGCGUGGUGUAGCGGUGAAAUGCAUAGAUAUCACGCAGAACCCCGAUUGCGAAGGCAGCAUACCGGCGCCCUACUGACGCUGAGGCACGAAAGUGCGGGUAUCGAACAGG